This 254-nucleotide ribosomal RNA is filed under the name uncultured bacterium. Its description in RNAcentral is "partial 16S ribosomal RNA". It matches the Rfam family "Bacterial small subunit ribosomal RNA", at positions 524 to 776 of the family's 1533-position model. The record is from RNAcentral.
UACAGAGGUCCCAAGCGUUGUUCGGAUUCACUGGGCGUAAAGGGUGCGUAGGUGGUGGGGUAAGUCGGAUGUGAAAGCUCGGAGCUUAACUCCGAAAUUGCAUUGGAAACUACCCUGCUAGAGGGUCGGAGGGGGGGACUGGAAUACUUGGUGUAGCAGUGAAAUGCGUAGAUAUCAAGUGGAACACCAGUGGCGAAGGCGAGUCCCUGGACGACUCCUGACACUGAGGCACGAAAGCUAGGGGAGCAAACAGG